CCUACGGGAGGCUGCAGUAGGGAAUCUUCCACAAUGGGCGAAAGCCUGAUGGAGCAACGCCGCGUGGGUGAAGAAGGUCUUCGGAUCGUAAAACCCUGUUGUUAGAGAAGAAAGUGCGUGAGAGUAACUGUUCACGUUUCGACGGUAUCUAACCAGAAAGCCACGGCUAACUACGUGCCAGCAGCCGCGGUAAUACGUAGGUGGCAAGCGUUAUCCGGAUUUAUUGGGCGUAAAGGGAACGCAGGCGGUCUUUUAAGUCUGAUGUGAAAGCUGUCGGGUUAACCGGAGUAGUGCAUUGGAAACUGGGAGACUUGAGUGCAGAAGAGGAGAGUGGAACUCCAUGUGUAGCGGUGAAAUGCGUAGAUAUAUGGAAGAACACCAGUGGCGAAAGCGGCUCUCUGGUCUGUAACUGACGCUGAGGUUCGAAAGCGUGGGUAGCAAACAGGAUUAGAUACCCGUGUAGUC
RNAcentral lists this ribosomal RNA (465 nucleotides) under uncultured bacterium. RNAcentral's name for it is "partial 16S ribosomal RNA". It matches the Rfam family "Bacterial small subunit ribosomal RNA", at positions 338 to 795 of the family's 1533-position model. The record is from RNAcentral.